CUUCAGGAUCGCUAGGGUUCCGGUCGUGUGGCGCAGGCGCGCCGCGCGAUGUCUGGUCCGAGAGCAAUCCGGUCUUGCCUUCGCCUCGACGAGAGGAAACGGCGAGGCUCCACGGAGGGAUAAAAGCCCGGGAGGU
RNAcentral lists this small RNA (136 nucleotides) under Burkholderia vietnamiensis. RNAcentral describes it as "Guanidine-I sequence". It matches the Rfam family "Guanidine-I riboswitch aptamer". From Rfam's summary of the family: This family represents a conserved RNA structure found upstream of the ykkC and yxkD genes in Bacillus subtilis and related genes in other bacteria. Lineage: Bacteria; Pseudomonadati; Pseudomonadota; Betaproteobacteria; Burkholderiales; Burkholderiaceae. RNAcentral also lists the same sequence under 1 other name. The record is from RNAcentral.